GCUGGGCUUGGUGGUGCAUGCCUGUAAUCCCAGCAGCUCUGGAGGCUGAGGCAGGAGGAUGGUGAGUUCAAAGCCAGCCUCAGCAAAAGAGAGUAGUUAAGCAACUCAGUGAGACCCUGCCUCUA
RNAcentral lists this small RNA (125 nucleotides) under Marmota monax (woodchuck). The record is from RNAcentral. Lineage: Eukaryota; Metazoa; Chordata; Mammalia; Rodentia; Sciuridae.